GACAACCCAUUAAGAAUGAGAUAAGAACAUCAUCAUUAACUGAAGUGGGAGCAAGAUGAGGCUUUGAAGAUAACCCCAUACCAGUCUACUGAAACAAGGCCAAAAUUUGCAGUAUGUUCCUCGUGGGAUAUAUGGAGUCAGUAGCAGUGAAUAAAAUGCUACAAUUAAACUAAAUGCAGUAAGCUUCAGCAGGCACAAUUCCUGAUCCUGCAAGAUGCCAAGUACUCUCAAGUCAAGAUCAAGUACUUAGAGCUCUACUACAAAAGAAACAAGCAUAAAAGACAAAAUACUAAACUCAUUACUACGGAACAGGCAUGAAGAGGAGCAUCUCUUCCCUUACCUACAGGAUACUACCAAAUCACUAUUGACUAAAUGGUCAAUUACCCAGGACAUCACUGCAAUAUCAAUUUCCAUCUUUGACUCCCAUUG
Molecule: long non-coding RNA, 429 nt
Filed under: Gallus gallus (chicken)
Lineage: Eukaryota; Metazoa; Chordata; Aves; Galliformes; Phasianidae
Source: RNAcentral